This 324-nucleotide long non-coding RNA is filed under the name Actinidia chinensis (golden kiwifruit). RNAcentral's name for it is "long non-coding RNA (ACHI_LNC005740)". Lineage: Eukaryota; Viridiplantae; Streptophyta; Magnoliopsida; Ericales; Actinidiaceae. The record is from RNAcentral.
UCCCUCUCUCUCUCUCCAAGACGAAGGCGACGCGAGAUGACAACGGACGAGUGGGUUACGACGGCGUUAGCCGACGAUGCGGUGGUGGCUGAGCUGUUACUCCGGAUGAAGCAGUCAUCGGAUUCGUCCGCGUCGCAGCACUUGAAGCCUCCGCCGGCGUGGGGCCACCGCCAGCCGCGGUCGAAGCCUCAGGCCACCACCUCAAGGAAGGAGCAAGAGUCGAUGAGAUUCAGCCCCACCACACCGCUCUCCUGGAGCUCCGGUGGCGGCGCCAGCGACGGCUCUGACGAGUCCUGCCGGCCUUCAGAUCGGUCCUCCGUCAGC